GAUGAACGCUGGCGGCGUGCCUAAUACAUGCAAGUCGAGCGAACAGAUGAGGAGCUUGCUCCUCUGACGUUAGCGGCGGACGGGUGAGUAACACGUGGAUAACCUACCUAUAAGACUGGGAUAACUUCGGGAAACCGGAGCUAAUACCGGAUAAUAUAUUGAACCGCAUGGUUCAAUAGUGAAAGACGGCUUUGCUGUCACUUAUAGAUGGAUCCGCGCCGCAUUAGCUAGUUGGUAAGGUAACGGCUUACCAAGGCAACGAUGCGUAGCCGACCUGAGAGGGUGAUCGGCCACACUGGAACUGAGACACGGUCCAGACUCCUACGGGAGGCAGCAAUAGGGAAUCUUCCGCAAUGGGCGAAAGCCCGACGGAGCAACGCCGCGUGAGUGAUGAAGGUCUUCGGAUCGUAAAACUCUGUUAUUAGGGAAGAACAAAUGUGUAAGUAACUAUGCACGUCUUGACGGUACCUAAUCAGAAAGCCACGGCUAACUACGUG
RNAcentral lists this ribosomal RNA (497 nucleotides) under uncultured bacterium. RNAcentral's name for it is "partial 16S ribosomal RNA". It matches the Rfam family "Bacterial small subunit ribosomal RNA", at positions 28 to 507 of the family's 1533-position model. The record is from RNAcentral.